Chinchilla lanigera (long-tailed chinchilla) is the source of this 1187-nucleotide long non-coding RNA. RefSeq lists it as uncharacterized. The transcript is spliced from 3 exons. The record is from RefSeq and is a predicted model, not a curated record. NCBI's taxonomy places the organism in Eukaryota, Metazoa, Chordata, Mammalia, Rodentia, Chinchillidae.
UCUGCUUUUCUCUUUCAAUAUUUAAAUAAAAGAAUAAUAUCAUAAAGUGCUUCUCAAUCUGUAAAGGGAAAAGAAACUUUUGUAUUAAAAAGAAUACAGAUGUGUUCUAAUUGCAAAGAGCUGUGUGCCAAUCUCUGGUGGAUUUUGCCGCACAAAUUGCAGCCACGGAUCCUGUUGCCCACACACAAUCUCAUCAGCAAAGUCCUCUCGCGUUGUGUUCCUGCUCACCCGAGAUCUCUGGUAUUGACGACACACGUUUUGACUGUAGGGUACACAAUGCGUUCACUUUUUUCGUAGGGCUGAUGGGCGAACAUGAUGGUACAAUGCCUGUCAAGUAUUUAGCUUGAUGACGGGUAGAGUAGACAAGGACCAGAGGUAGGCAGCUCUACCAAGACGCUUUGCUGAGCAUGCGCUGUGAUUGCAAGCUCUACCCAUCCGCUAGGCUCUGGCUCUGUCCGCCCUUUGGACCACUCAGAUCUCUAAGAGCCACUGAUUCGUUUAAAUCCCAAAAAGUGACUUAGAAGAAUGACUAAGUUCCAGGAUGGGUUUGUGUAAGGUGCUGGGGUUCCUGUGAAGUAGAAUCCUAAGAGAAUCAUCCCUGCCUCACAAGCAACCGUUUGAAGAGCUGAUGCUCCCGUGUGAUAGAAUCCUGGACAGAAACGGCCAGGGACGCGUCCGUUAUCCCCUCAAGCACAGCGGCUCCACGCAGGAGGAAUGGAAGGCAGACUGUCUUAGCAGAUGAAAGGAAGCAUUAAAUAUCGGCUAUGCCCCAAGCGGAGGAACGUACCUCUGCCCUCCCGGUGGAGCUGCGCUUGCAGCACGGGGACGCCUCCUUCCCGUGCUUUAUCACUCUCUCACGCUCAGCGCUGUGACAGGCAGCAUUCCCUUGGUCAGUGGUUCUCAGUCCUUUCUAAGUGAACCACUUAGGGAGCUUUUAGAACUACCACUGGCUGAGAUGCACACACUUGUAAUCCCAGCACUCUGGAAGGCUGAGGCAGAAGGACUUGGAGUUUGAGCACAGUUUAGAGCUGCAACUACCGUUCAUACUAAGGACCUCCCAGCCCAUGACUAUUUGGCAUCUGUCUCUCCCUGCUGGACCACGGUGCUCUAGAGUGAGAACUUUGUUGCUUGAUCAUUUUACCCCAACACCAAACACAAUGUCUGACGUGCAGAAGAUGUUCAUUAAA